GUACUUGCUUUGGUAGCACAUACACUAAAAAUGUAAUGAUAUAGAGGAGAUUAGCAAGUCCCUUGCACAAGUAUGAUGCCCAAAUUCAUGAAGCAUUCCAAUUUUAA
Molecule: small nuclear RNA, 107 nt
Organism: Erinaceus europaeus (western European hedgehog)
Lineage: Eukaryota; Metazoa; Chordata; Mammalia; Eulipotyphla; Erinaceidae
Source: Ensembl